CGCCAGCAGCCGCGGUAAGACGAAGGAUCCAAGCGUUAUCCGGAUUCAUUGGGUUUAAAGGGUGCGUAGGCGGAUUUGUAAGUCAGUGGUGAAAGCCGAUAGCUCAACUAUCGAACUGCCAUUGAUACUGCAGAUCUAGAAUAUAGAUGAUGUUGGCGGAAUAUGACAUGUAGCGGUGAAAUGCAUAGAUAUGUCAUAGAACACCGAUUGCGAAGGCAGCUGACAAAACUAUUAUUGACGCUGAUGCACGAAAGUGCGGGGAUCAAACAGGAUUAGAUACCCUGGUAGUCCGCACAGUAAACGAUGAUAACUAGUUGUUUGCGAUAUACAGUAAGCGACCAAGCGAAAGCGAUAAGUUAUCCACCUGGGGAGUACGCCGGCAACGGUGAAACUCAAAGGAAUUGACGGGGGCCCGCACAAGU
Molecule: ribosomal RNA, 422 nt
Filed under: uncultured bacterium
Lineage: Bacteria
Description: bacterial SSU rRNA
Rfam family: Bacterial small subunit ribosomal RNA
Source: RNAcentral